Molecule: ribosomal RNA, 273 nt
Filed under: uncultured bacterium
Lineage: Bacteria
Description: partial 16S ribosomal RNA
Rfam family: Bacterial small subunit ribosomal RNA
Source: RNAcentral
AUACGGAGGGUGCAAGCGUUACUCGGAAUCACUGGCGUAAAGCGCGCGCAGGCGGCUAUUUAAGUUGGAUGUGAAAGCCUACGGCUCAACCGUAGAACUGCAUCCAAAACUAUUUAGCUAGAGUGUGGGAGAGGAAGAUGGAAUUAGUUGUGUAGGGGUAAAAUCCGUAGAGAUAACUAGGAAUACCAAAAGCGAAGGCAAUCUUCUGGAACACUACUGACGCUGAGGCGCGAAAGCGUGGGGAGCAAACAGGAUUAGAAACCCUAGUAGUCC